AUUGAACGCUGGCGGUAUGCUUAACACAUGCAAGUCGAACGGCAGCACGGUAUGUAGCAAUACAUAUGGGUGGCAAGUGGCGGACGGGUGAGUAACGCGUAGGAAUCUGCCCUCAAGCGGGGGACAACCCGAGGAAACUCGGGCUAAUACCGCAUAAACUCGGAAGAGAAAAGCUGGGGUAACCUGGCACUUGAGGAGGAGCCUGCGUCUGAUUAGCUAGUUGGUAGGGUAAAGGCCUACCAAGGCGAUGAUCAGUAGCUGGUCUGAGAGGAUGACCAGCCACACUGGAACUGAGACACGGUCCAGACUCCUACGGGAGGCAGCAGUGGGGAAUAUUGGACAAUGGGGGAAACCCUGAUCCAGCAAUACCGCGUGUGCGAAGAAGGCCUUCGGGUUGUAAAGCACUUUAGUUGGGGAGGAAGGUUAGCAGUUUAAGAGAUGGCUAAUUUGACUGUACCCAAAGAAUAAGCACCGGCUAACUACGUGCCAGCCGCCGCAGUAA
Molecule: ribosomal RNA, 502 nt
Filed under: uncultured bacterium
Lineage: Bacteria
Description: partial 16S ribosomal RNA
Rfam family: Bacterial small subunit ribosomal RNA
Source: RNAcentral